Molecule: ribosomal RNA, 253 nt
Filed under: uncultured bacterium
Lineage: Bacteria
Description: partial 16S ribosomal RNA
Rfam family: Bacterial small subunit ribosomal RNA
Source: RNAcentral
UACGAAGGGGGCUAGCGUUGUUCGGAAUCACUGGGCGUAAAGGGUGCGUAGGCGGCUUUUCAAGUCGGGGGUGAAAGCCUGUGGCUCAACCACAGAAUUGCCUUCGAUACUGUUAGGCUUGAGACCGGAAGAGGUGAGUGGAACUGCGAGUGUAGAGGUGAAAUUCGUAGAUAUUCGCAAGAACACCAGUGGCGAAGGCGGCUCACUGGUCCGGUACUGACGCUGAGGCGCGAAAGCGUGGGGAGCAAACAGG